GUGACUGCGUACCUUUUGUAUAAUGGGUCAGCGACUUAUAUUCUGUAGCAAGGUUAACCGUAUAGGGGAGCCGGAGGGAAACCGAGUCUUAAUUGGGCGUUAAGUUGCAGGGUAUAGACCCGAAACCCGGUGAUCUAGCCAUGGGCAGGUUGAAGGUUGGGUAACACUAACUGGAGGACCGAACCGACUAAUGUUGAAAAAUUAGCGGAUGACCUGUGGCUGGGGGUGAAAGGCCAAUCAAACCGGGAGAUAGCUGGUUCUCCCCGAAAGCUAUUUAGGUAGCGCCUCGUGAAUUCAUCUCCGGGGGUAGAGCACUGUUUCGGCUAGGGGGCCAUCCCGGCUUACCAACCCGAUGCAAACUGCGAAUACCGGAGAAUGUUAUCACGGGAGACACACGGCGGGUGCUAACGUCCGUCGUGAAGAGGGAAACAACCCAGACCGCCAGCUAAGGUCCCAAAGUCAUGGUUAAGUGGGAAACGAUGUGGGAAGGCCCAGACAGCCAGGAUGUUGGCUUAGAAGCAGCCAUCAUUUAAAGAAAGCGUAAUAGCUCACUGGUCGAGUCGGCCUGCGCGGAAGAUGUAACGGGGCUAAACCAUGCACCGAAGCUGCGGCAGCGAACGUAUCACCCAAGACAACUUUACGGAGUUGACGAUUGACGGAGCGAAGCGACGUCAAAGCGUUCAUUAAAGUCGAGUUGGCUUAGGGAUACGUUCGUUGGGUAGGGGAGCGUUCUGUAAGCCUGUGAAGGUGUGUCGUGAGGCAUGCUGGAGGUAUCAGAAGUGCGAAUGCUGACAUAAGUAACGAUAAAGCGGGUGAAAAGCCCGCUCGCCGGAAGACCA
RNAcentral lists this ribosomal RNA (839 nucleotides) under Salmonella enterica subsp. enterica serovar Typhimurium str. STm1. Its description in RNAcentral is "bacterial LSU rRNA". It matches the Rfam family "Bacterial large subunit ribosomal RNA", at positions 593 to 1347 of the family's 2925-position model. RNAcentral also lists the same sequence under 6 other names. Lineage: Bacteria; Pseudomonadati; Pseudomonadota; Gammaproteobacteria; Enterobacterales; Enterobacteriaceae. The record is from RNAcentral.